GCUGUUAAGGGUUCGUAGUUGAAUUGAGGGCUGUCAAGGAGACGAAAAAGUCCCGUYUUCGGUAGGUGACCUUCGCUCUUGCAGCUCGUGAACAUCAGAAACAAACAUCUCGGAAGCGUUUCCUCCCAUCUUCGCAUGCAAUGUAUGCAGGGAGGCGUCCGUGUGUAUUACUGUGACUAAAAAGUGUGACCAAAGCAGUCGUUCGACAUGAAUUAGAAAGCAUGGGAUAACAAAUGUCAGCCUACGGGCUACCGUUUCGGCUUUUGUUGGUUUUAGAGGUCUGUAGGAGAUUAUGGCUCGCACGACAAGCGGUUCGGGGUUCCGUCCCCACGCCUCCAUCGUUUUCGGCUUUCGGGCCGUGGCGGUGGCUUGCGGCGUCCGGAAUGAAGGAGGGUUGUUCGGGGGAGA
Molecule: ribosomal RNA, 408 nt
Filed under: uncultured kinetoplastid
Lineage: Eukaryota; Euglenozoa; Kinetoplastea
Description: bacterial SSU rRNA
Source: RNAcentral